This 549-nucleotide ribosomal RNA is filed under the name Bacillus halotolerans. Its description in RNAcentral is "partial 23S ribosomal RNA". It matches the Rfam family "Bacterial large subunit ribosomal RNA", at positions 1 to 543 of the family's 2925-position model. The record is from RNAcentral. Lineage: Bacteria; Bacillati; Bacillota; Bacilli; Caryophanales; Bacillaceae.
GGUUAAGUUAGAAAGGGCGCACGGUGGAUGCCUUGGCACUAGGAGCCGAUGAAGGACGGGACGAACACCGAUAUGCUUCGGGGAGCUGUAAGCAAGCUUUGAUCCGGAGAUUUCCGAAUGGGGAAACCCACCACUCGUAAUGGAGUGGUAUCCAUAUCUGAAUUCAUAGGAUAUGAGAAGGCAGACCCGGGGAACUGAAACAUCUAAGUACCCGGAGGAAGAGAAAGCAAAUGCGAUUCCCUGAGUAGCGGCGAGCGAAACGGGAUUAGCCCAAACCAAGAGGCUUGCCUCUUGGGGUUGUAGGACACUCUAUACGGAGUUACAAAGGAACGAGGUAGAUGAAGAGGUCUGGAAAGGCCCGCCAUAGGAGGUAACAGCCCUGUAGUCAAAACUUCGUUCUCUCCAGAGUGGAUCCUGAGUACGGCGGAACACGUGAAAUUCCGUCGGAAUCCGGGAGGACCAUCUCCCAAGGCUAAAUACUCCCUAGUGACCGAUAGUGAACCAGUACCGUGAGGGAAAGGUGAAAAGCACCCCGGAAGGGGAGUGAAA